Molecule: long non-coding RNA, 562 nt
Filed under: Brassica rapa (field mustard)
Lineage: Eukaryota; Viridiplantae; Streptophyta; Magnoliopsida; Brassicales; Brassicaceae
Description: long non-coding RNA (BRAP_LNC001812)
Source: RNAcentral
GGGUUUAGGGUUUUAAGAUUUAGUGUUUUUGAUUUAGAGUAUGAAUUAUCCAAGGGUUUGGAGUUUACCCAAGGGUUUAUAGGAUUUAUGAUUUAGGGUUUAGGGAUUAGGAUUUAGGGUUUAGUGUUUUGCUGAAGACGAUAAAAAUAUUAUUUUUUUUUAAAUUUGUUUUUCUCUAACUACUAUUUUUUCUAAUUUUUUUAACCUUUUUAUUUUAAAAACAUAAUAUAUCUUGAUAAUAUUUUGUUUCUUUUUCUAAAAGAUAUCGAAUUUGAAAUAAUAAAAUCUUAUUGGUUGGUGGACCUAGAGGUUCACCCUAGGGGGUGGACCCAAGAAUAACUCCAAACAUAUAUAUACAAAAUAUACAAUAGAAAAUGAUGAAGAAUUUUUAAUUUUUGGUUAACCAUCCGGCAAGAGUUCUACUUCUAUUGAUACACAUAGCUAAACUGAACUCAAACACAACUAACAGGAGAGUGCUAGUUGAAAUAUUCAAGUAACAUUCGUUUGUAAUCGAGAAAAUUAUUUUGAUUUUAUCAAGUAAAUCUCGAACUGUGAUAUUGUG